CAAUAGCGUAUAUUAAAGUUGUUGCAGUUAAAAAGCUCGUAGUUGGAUUUCGGGGUGGCCUGCCUGGUCCACCGCAAGGUGAGUACUGGUCAGCCGCCCUUCCUCUCGAAAGCCCCGACUGCUCUUCAUUGCAGUGGUCGGGUAGUUCGGGACGUUUACUUUGAAAAAUUAGAGUGUUCAAGGCAGGCUGUCGCCUGAAUACAUUAGCAUGGAAUAAUGGAAGAGGGCCUCGGUCCUAUUUUGUUGGUUUCUAGGGCCGAAGUAAUGAUUAAGAGGGACAGUUGGGGGCAUUCGUAUUUAAUUGUCAGAGGUGAAAUUCUUGGAUUUAUGAAAGACGAACUAGUGCGAAAGCAUUUGCCAAGGAUGUUUUCAUUAA
Molecule: ribosomal RNA, 376 nt
Filed under: uncultured eukaryote
Lineage: Eukaryota
Description: partial 18S ribosomal RNA
Rfam family: Eukaryotic small subunit ribosomal RNA
Source: RNAcentral